UUAAUAGUGGGAAAACUAGGUUGAUUGAAUUAUUUCAAUCAUUAAAAGGGAAGUUCGGUGAAAAACCGACGCGGUCCCGCCACUGUAAAUGGGAGCUCUUUACAAAGAUUAUCCACUGUCUUACAAGAUGGGAAGGAGUUAAAGAGUGUUGAUCAUGAGCCAGGAGACCUGCCUAUUUUUUGCACCAUAA
Molecule: non-coding RNA, 190 nt
Filed under: Heyndrickxia shackletonii
Lineage: Bacteria; Bacillati; Bacillota; Bacilli; Caryophanales; Bacillaceae
Source: RNAcentral